UACGAAGGGUGCAAGCGUUACUCGGAAUUACUGGGCGUAAAGCGUGCGUAGGCGGUUUGUUAAGUCCGUUGUGAAAGCCCCGGGCUCAACCUGGGAACCGCGCUUGAGACUGGCACGCUAGAGUUCGGGAGAGGAUGGUGGAAUUCCCAGUGUAGAGGUGAAAUUCGUAGAUAUUGGGAAGAACACCGAUGGCGAAGGCAGCCAUCUGGACCGACACUGACGCUGAGGCGCGAAAGCGUGGGGAGCAAACAGG
This 253-nucleotide ribosomal RNA is filed under the name uncultured bacterium. RNAcentral's name for it is "partial 16S ribosomal RNA". It matches the Rfam family "Bacterial small subunit ribosomal RNA", at positions 524 to 776 of the family's 1533-position model. The record is from RNAcentral.